AUGGGCUGCUGCGUCAGCAAGAAGCGCGGCGAGCCGCCGGGCGCGGCCGAUGGGAGGAAGGCCGUCGAGGCCCGGGACCUGCCGCCGCCCGAGGAGGAGAAGGUCAAGGAGGUGCUCUCGGAGACGCCGCGCGUCAAGCCGCGGCCCAGGCCCAGGCGCGUGGCCGGUGGCGCUGUGGUGGCGCCGUCGGCGGAGAAGGCCAGGGCCAAGGAUGGCGGCACCGCCAGGGCGAAGGACGGGCAUGGCGUCGGCGGCAGGGUCAGCAGGCCCGCGCGCUCCGUCGAGGAGAAGUCGGAGGCGGCGUCCGAGUCGUCGGCCGCGACCACGGUGGCCGGGCCCGAGCGCUCCCCGUCCAAGCCGCCCAGGUGCCGGCAGGGAAGGGCCGCGCCCGGUGGCGAGCCCAGGCGCGCCAGGCGGGACCGAGACCACGGCGCCGCCGUCCCUGGCAGGCGCGGGCGCGCGUCACCGUCGCCUCCGCCCCCGCGGCGCGACCCCGGGCGCAGGUCGCCGUCGCCCGCCGCGAAGCGGGCGCAGGACCAGCGCCGCGACGCUGCCGGCUCGGCCCCGUGCGCGCAGCGGAAGCCGCCCGUGCCCGCGAGGCCGUGCGGCCGCGCUCCGACGCCGCCACGUACACAGGAGGCGCCUCCCCAGCCACCGGUGGCGGCGAAGCCGCACCCGCACGGUCCUCCUACGCACUGUGCAUCGCCGCCGGCACCGCAGGCACCGGAGCAGGAGUAUACGGAUACUCCCCCAGGCAGCGACGGCGCGGCCGGUGACGGUGAAGGCGAGGGGAAGGAGUCCCUGGAGAACCCGCUGGUGUCCAUGGAAUGCUUCAUCUUCCUGUAA
Molecule: ribosomal RNA, 846 nt
Filed under: Triticum aestivum (bread wheat)
Lineage: Eukaryota; Viridiplantae; Streptophyta; Magnoliopsida; Poales; Poaceae
Description: partial small subunit ribosomal RNA
Source: RNAcentral